Molecule: transfer RNA, 69 nt
Filed under: Dipodomys ordii (Ord's kangaroo rat)
Lineage: Eukaryota; Metazoa; Chordata; Mammalia; Rodentia; Heteromyidae
Rfam family: tRNA
About the family: Transfer RNA (tRNA) molecules are approximately 80 nucleotides in length. Their secondary structure includes four short double-helical elements and three loops (D, anti-codon, and T loops).
Source: Rfam by way of RNAcentral
GGGAAUGUGGCUCAGUGGUAGAGUGCUUGCUUUGCAUGCAUGAGGGCCUGGGUUCGAGUCUUAGCACCA